Molecule: ribosomal RNA, 589 nt
Filed under: uncultured bacterium
Lineage: Bacteria
Description: bacterial SSU rRNA
Rfam family: Bacterial small subunit ribosomal RNA
Source: RNAcentral
CCUACGGGAGGCAGCAGUGAGGAAUUUUCCGCAAUGGGCGAAAGCCUGACGGAGCAAUACCGCGUGAGGGAUGAAGGAUUUUGGUCUGUAAACCUCUUUUCUCAAGAAAGAAGUUCUGACGGUACUUGAGGAAUAAGCAUCGGCUAACUCCGUGCCAGCAGCCGCGGUAAUACGGGGGAUGCAAGCGUUAUCCGGAAUGAUUGGGCAUAAAGCGCCUGUAGGUUGUUUAUUAAGUCCGUUGUUAAAGCCUAGGGCUUAACCCUAGAAAAGCAAUGGAAACUAGUAGACUAGAGUAUGGCAGGGGUAGAGGGAAUUUCUAGUGUAGCGGUGAAAUGCGUAGAUAUUAGAAAGAACACCGGUGGCGAAAGCGCUCUACUGGACCAUUACUGACACUCAGAGGCGAAAGCUAGGGUAGCAAAAGGGAUUAGAUACCCCUGUAGUCCUAGCCGUAAACGAUGGAUACUAGAUGUUGUGCAUUAUGUACAGUAUCGUAGCUAACGCGUUAAGUAUCCCGCCUGGGGAGUACGCUCGCAAGGGUGAAACUCAAANANAUAGAGCGNGNGAGNGCGACGACGACGACGAGGGAGAG